AGAGAGAGACAUGCGCGCAUAUCAAUAAGCGGAGGAAAAGAAACUAACAAGGAUUCCCUUAGUAACGGCGAGUGAAGCGGGAAGAGCUCAAAUUUGAAAUCUUCAAGGUUUUACCUUGACGAAUUGUAGUUUAAAGAAGUGUUUUCUGCUGAAGUUUUGGUAAAAGUUCUUUGGAAUAGGACAUCAUAGAGGGUGAGAAUCCCGUAUUUGACCAUUAUUUUCAGCUUUGUGAUACACUUUCAAAGAGUCGGAUUGUUUGGGAAUGCAGUCCAAAAUGGGUGGUAAAUUUCAUCUAAAGCUAAAUAUUGGCGAGAGACCGAUAGCGAACAAGUACCGUGAGGGAAAGAUGAAAAGAACUUUGAAAAGAGAGUUAAACAGUACGUGAAAUUGUCAAAAGGGAAGCGUUUGACACCAGUGUUGUUUUCUCGAAAAUCAAUUAAAAAUGGCUCGAUUUUGUAUUGCUGAGGACCUUAAAAGCUCACUGUACAUUUUUCGUGUCUUUUUUAAUGCACUUUUCGUUUAACAAGUCAACAUCAGUUUCUUUGUUGUAAAAGGGUCAUUGGAAGGUGGCUUUCUUUUCGGAGAAAGUGUUUAUAGCCUUUGGCCUCUGCAAUCGGAGAGACUUGAGGUCUGCAGCGUAGAUCCUUCGGGGUUAGAUACAUUUGUGCUAAGUUAUAGCCUUUUCAUAGACAACUUGUUGACUAUAAUCAGUCAUGUAGCUUACUCGCUUAUGCUAUUUUACCUACGCUUAGGAUGUUGAGUCGUAGAGCACGCA
Molecule: ribosomal RNA, 775 nt
Filed under: uncultured Neocallimastigales
Lineage: Eukaryota; Fungi; Neocallimastigomycota; Neocallimastigomycetes; Neocallimastigales
Description: partial large subunit ribosomal RNA
Rfam family: Eukaryotic large subunit ribosomal RNA
Source: RNAcentral